GGGCGGUUAGCUCAGGGGUAGAGCACCGGUUUUACACGCCGGCUGUCACAGGUUCAAAUCCUGUACCGCCCACCA
RNAcentral lists this transfer RNA (75 nucleotides) under Acidobacteriota bacterium. RNAcentral describes it as "Acidobacteria bacterium tRNA-Val". It matches the Rfam family "tRNA". Rfam says of the family: Transfer RNA (tRNA) molecules are approximately 80 nucleotides in length. Lineage: Bacteria; Pseudomonadati; Acidobacteriota. The record is from RNAcentral. RNAcentral also lists the same sequence under 1 other name.